This 482-nucleotide ribosomal RNA is filed under the name uncultured bacterium. Its description in RNAcentral is "partial 16S ribosomal RNA". It matches the Rfam family "Bacterial small subunit ribosomal RNA", at positions 28 to 523 of the family's 1533-position model. The record is from RNAcentral.
GAUGAACGCUGGCGGCGUGCCUAAUACAUGCAAGUCGAGCGGAAAGGCCCUUCGGGGUACUCGAGCGGCGGACGGCUGAGUAACGCGUAGGAACGUACCCCAAAGUGAGGGAUAACUGCUCGAAAGAGUAGCUAAUACCGCAUGUGCUCUUCGGAGUAAAGCUUCGGCGCUUUGGGAACGGCCUGCGUCCUAUUAGCUAGUUGGUGAGGUAAUUGCUCACCAAGGCGACGAUAGGUAGCUGGUCUGAGAGGAUGAUCAGCCACACUGGGACUGAGACACGGCCCAGACUCCUACGGGAGGCAGCAGUGGGGAAUUUUGGACAAUGGGCGCAAGCCUGAUCCAGCAAUGCCGCGUGCAGGAUGAAGGCCUUCGGGUUGUAAACUGCUUUUGUACGGAACGAAAAGCCCUGGGUUAAUACCCUGGGGUCAUGACGGUACCGUAAGAAUAAGCACCGGCUAACUACGUGCCAGCCGCCGCAGUAA